Non-coding RNA from Gossypium hirsutum (cotton), 133 nucleotides. The record is from Rfam. NCBI's taxonomy places the organism in Eukaryota, Viridiplantae, Streptophyta, Magnoliopsida, Malvales, Malvaceae.
UAUUAAAAAUUUCAUCUACUUUUACUGUUAAAAUUAAAGUUACUAUCAGAAUAACUUAACAAUUAUAUAUGGCAUGCCACAUGUACCUAAAAGAACUAAUUUUUAUUAGUAGAAAUGGAUGAAAUUUUUGACA